Molecule: ribosomal RNA, 1508 nt
Filed under: uncultured bacterium
Lineage: Bacteria
Description: bacterial SSU rRNA
Rfam family: Bacterial small subunit ribosomal RNA
Source: RNAcentral
GCUCUACGGCUUAGAGUUUGAUCCUGGCUCAGAUUGAACGCUGGCGGUAUGCUUAAGACAUGCAAGUCGUGCGGUAGAGGGCUUCGGCCUUUGGGAGCGGCGGACGGGUGAGUAACACGUGGGAACCUGCCUAUUAGUGGGGGACAGCCCAGCGAAAGCUGGAUUAAUACCGCAUACGCCCUACGGGGGAAAGCAGCAAUGCGCUAAUAGAUGAGCCCGCGUAAGAUUAGCUAGUUGGUAAGGUAAAGGCUUACCAAGGCGACGAUCUUUAGCUGGUCUGAGAGGAUGGCCAGCCACAUCGGGACUGAGACACGGCCCGGACUCCUACGGGAGGCAGCAGUCGGGAAUAUUGGACAAUGGGCGCAAGCCUGAUCCAGCAAUACCGCGUGUGUGAAGAAGGCCUUCGGGUUGUAAAGCUCUUUUGUCCGGAGCGAAAAGGUGUCGGUGAAUAUCCGACGCUACUGACGGUACCGGAAGAAUAAGCACCGGCUGACUACGUGCCAGCAGCCGCGGUAAUACGUAGGGUGCGAGCGUUAAUCGGAAUUACUGGGCGUAAAGCGUGCGCAGGCGGUUUUGUAAGCCAGACGUGAAAGCCCCGGGCUUAACCUGGGAAUGGCGUUUGGGACCGCAAGGCUCGAGUACGGCAGAGGGGACUAGAAUUCCUGGUGUAGCAGUGAAAUGCGUAGAUAUCAGGAGGAAGACCGAUGGCGAAGGCAGGUCCCUGGGUUAGUACUGACGCUCAUGCACGAAAGCGUGGGGAGCAAACAGGAUUAGAUACCCUGGUAGUCCACGCCCUAAACUAUGUCGACUGGUUGUUGGGGAUUUGACAUCCUUAGUAACGAAGCUAACGCGUGAAGUCGACCGCCUGGGGAGUACGGCCGCAAGGUUAAAACUCAAAGGAAUUGACGGGGACCCGCACAAGCGGUGGAUUAUGUGGAUUAAUUCGAUGCAACGCGAAAAACCUUACCUACCCUUGACAUGCCAGGAAGGCUCCAGAAAUGGGGCUGUGCCCGAAAGGGAGCCUGGACACAGGUGCUGCAUGGCUGUCGUCAGCUCGUGUCGUGAGAUGUUGGGUUAAGUCCCGCAACGAGCGCAUCCCUUGUCAUUAGUUGCUACAUUCAGUUGGGCACUCUAAUGAGACUGCCGGUGACAAACCGGAGGAAGGUGGGGAUGACGUCAAGUCCUCAUGGCCCUUAUGGGUAGGGCUUCACACGUAAUACAAUGGCACGUACAGAGGGUUGCCAAGUCGCGAGACGGAGCCAAUCCCAGAAAGCGCGUCGUAGUCCGGAUCGGAGUCUGCAACUCGACUCCGUGAAGUCGGAAUCGCUAGUAAUCGCGGAUCAGCAUGUCGCGGUGAAUACGUUCCCGGGUCUUGUACACACCGCCCGUCACACCAUGGGAGUGGGUUCUACCAGAAGCAGGUCGCCUAACCGCAAGGGGGGCGCCUACCACGGUAGGAUUCAUGACUGGGGUGAAGUCGUAACAAGGUAACCAAGCUCAAUAAGACC